This 1313-nucleotide ribosomal RNA is filed under the name Citrobacter freundii. RNAcentral describes it as "partial 23S ribosomal RNA". It matches the Rfam family "Bacterial large subunit ribosomal RNA", at positions 1 to 1352 of the family's 2925-position model. Lineage: Bacteria; Pseudomonadati; Pseudomonadota; Gammaproteobacteria; Enterobacterales; Enterobacteriaceae. The record is from RNAcentral.
UGAGGUUAAGCGACUAAGCGUACACGGUGGAUGCCCUGGCAGUCAGAGGCGAUGAAGGACGUGCUAAUCUGCGAUAAGCGUCGGUAAGGUGAUAUGAACCGUUAUAACCGGCGAUUUCCGAAUGGGGAAACCCAGUGUGAUUCGUCACACUAUCAUUACGUGAAUACAUAGCGUAAUGAAGCGAACCGGGGGAACUGAAACAUCUAAGUACCCCGAGGAAAAGAAAUCAACCGAGAUUCCCCCAGUAGCGGCGAGCGAACGGGGAGCAGCCCAGAGUCUGAAUCAGCAUGUGUGGUAGUGGAACGGUCUGGAAAGUCCGGCGAUACAGGGUGAUAGCCCCGUACACAAAAGUGCAUGUGUUGUGAACUCGAAGAGUAGGGCGGGACACGUGGUAUCCUGUCUGAAUAUGGGGGGACCAUCCUCCAAGGCUAAAUACUCCUGACUGACCGAUAGUGAACCAGUACCGUGAGGGAAAGGCGAAAAGAACCCGGCGAGGGAGUUGAAAAAGAACCUGAAACCGUGUACGUACAAGCAGUGGGAGCCUCUUUAUGGGGUGACUGCGUACCUUUUGUAUAAUGGGUCAGCGACUUAUAUUCUGUAGCAAGGUUAACCGAAUAGGGGAGCCGAAGGGAAACCGAGUCUUAACUGGGCGUUUAAGUUGCAGGGUAUAGACCCGAAACCCGGUGAUCUAGCCAUGGGCAGGUUGAAGGUUGGGUAACACUAACUGGAGGACCGAACCGACUAAUGUUGAAAAAUUAGCGGAUGACUUGUGGCUGGGGGUGAAAGGCCAAUCAAACCGGGAGAUAGCUGGUUCUCCCCGAAAGCUAUUUAGGUAGCGCCUCGUGAAUUCAUUCUUCGGGGGUAGAGCACUGUUUCGGCUAGGGGGUCAUCCCGACUUACCAACCCGAUGCAAACUGCGAAUACCGAAGAAUGUUAUCACGGGAGACACACGGCGGGUGCUAACGUCCGUCGUGAAGAGGGAAACAACCCAGACCGCCAGCUAAGGUCCCAAAGUCAUGGUUAAGUGGGAAACGAUGUGGGAAGGCACAGACAGCCAGGAUGUUGGCUUAGAAGCAGCCAUCAUUUAAAAAAGCGUAAUAGCUCACUGGUCGAGUCGGCCUGCGCGGAAGAUGUAACGGGGCUAAACCAUGCACCGAAGCUGCGGCAGCGACACUAUGUGUUGUUGGGUAGGGGAGCGUUCUGUAAGCCGUUGAAGGUGGCCUGUGAGGGUGCUGGAGGUAUCAGAAGUGCGAAUGCUGACAUAAGUAAACGAUAAUGCGGGUGAAAAACCCGCACGCCGGAAGACCAAGGGU